Molecule: long non-coding RNA, 1263 nt
Filed under: Parus major (Great Tit)
Lineage: Eukaryota; Metazoa; Chordata; Aves; Passeriformes; Paridae
Description: lncRNA (ENSPMJG00000017892.1)
Source: RNAcentral
CGAUUAGGAAUCGAAAUUAAGCGGAUAAAAAAAAAGAAAAAAGCAACAACACACAAACCUCCCAAAGUCUUCUGCGAGUCUUUGGAGCAGUUCUUUUCCUCGCUAGCCUCUCAGCGGAGCUUCCCGGGGACUGACACGCAGUGCCGGGAGCGUGGCCCGGCGGCGGCUCCCUCCCGCCGAUCCCGGCCGGCUCCCAGCUCCCUGCCCGCCCUCCGCCUUCCCAAACUUUCCGGGCUGAUCCGCGGCGCCCCGGCCGCGGGACGGAGCGCCCGGUGCCCAAGUCCGCAGGAAGCUGUCCCGCCCGGGAGCCGAUCCCGCUGCCCCGCGGCUCUCCUGGGACACCGCGGGCUCGCCCCGUGCCCCGUCACGGCGCUCCCGGCCGUCCCCUUCCCAGCGCCUCCCGCACCCACCGGCCUCCGCCGGGACAGCGGGCGGGAGCGGGGCCGCCGCGUGUCCUUACUUGGAGUUGCGUUCUCCCAAGGGACGGGAAGGGCCGGGCAGCGGCGGGAGAGGAGCUGGAUCCGCAGCGCCGGCCGCCGGCAACUUCCCCGCUCCGCCGCCACACGUGGAGCUGAGGAGCGGGCUGCACUGCCCGCCCGCCGCUCGCCGCCGAGGACGUGGCAGCUCCGGCCCUCCCCCCGGCCCUCCCCGGCCGCGCCGGAGGCUCCUCCCGGCCCCGCUCUGCGGAACGCGGGGCGCCCUCUGCCGCCCGCCCGGGCACCGCCCGCCCCAGCCGCGCCCGGCCCCGCCGCCCCGGGGAGCCCGGCCCCGGCUCCGGCCGGCGGAGCCCGCGGGCCGCGGAGCUGCGUGCAGCACCCCAGGCCCCCUCAGGUGUCGGGCGCGCAGGACGAGGGAGAGAUGUUUGUAAAGGAGAACGCAAAAAAUAGGUGGCAUCAGGACAGCGAUUCUUUUUUUUUUUUUUUUUUUUUCCUUUCGCGUACCAGCUGGACGGAAGCGCCUGUUGAGUUGGUCAAACUCUGCGAUAAUGAGGCGAAAAUAAAAAUGGAGGGCAGGCUGCACGUCCUCCGGGAGCAGGGGCUGUGUGGGCAGAGCGGCGGGACUGGGUGUGCUGGGGAGCCCUGUCACACUCAGCCUGAGCUGCUGCUAUCUCUGCACCGGCGACACCCCAAAACACCUGCAGCUGCUUCCCUGCUCCCGUGGCUUAGGCUGACUGCCACAGAGAGUGUGAGUGAGAGACUGCUCUGCUUUCUUACUGCGGAGAAAAGACCUCUCACCACCUUCCUAAACAGACAGAAGCUGUAA